UUUUUUGCUUUUUAGGACCAUAUCUGCGGUAUAUGGAAGUUCCCAGGCUAGGGGUCGAAUUGGAGCUGUAGCUGUCAGCCUUUGCCAUAGCCACAGCAAUGAGGAAUCUGAGCUGUGUCUGUGACCUAUUCCACAGCUCACAGCAAUGCUGGAUCCUUAACCCACUGAGCGAGGCCAGGGAUUGAACCCUCAUUCUCAUGGAUACCAGUUGGGUUGGUUACCCCUGAGCCACAAUGGGAACUCCCUCAGUCUGGUUCAUAGGAAGAUUAUCUUGCUUCUAAAAAUGCAAAUACUGACUCAUUAAUUACUGAUAUUAAUUACAUAACAGUAUGGUGGGACAUCUGAGGAGAUGAAGGCUUUAUGAAUGGAGAUUAUACCACCCAGAGGCCCCGCCGAGGAAAGAGAGGAAGCUCAGCCUCAGAAUCCAAGGAUCCCCAAGGAGAAGGAGAAAACCAGUAAAUACUCUCUGGGAUUCUCACAUCCUUCCAGCCCAGCCUUACUGAUAACCCAGAAAGCAAAAUAACACUUGCAACCCUAUACAGCUUGCAGUGGAGAAAUGAGAAUUCAAACUCUGGUCUGUCUGGCUCCCAAAGCACUACUCUUCCUCCAGAGUGCGACUGUUCCCAGGACAUAAACAUACCAUUGAGGUCACAAUCUCACCCCCUCACCCCCACUUCCCACCUCCAGAAAGUGUCACUUUCUUAGAUGUAAAGACUUUAAUCUGUAAUUGAACCAGACUAUCAAAUGCCAGGAUAACCCACAUUUAGCAAACAGAAUGUGGGGAACAUUUCAAGAAAGAGGUUUCUGAGGGUUUUUUUUUUUUUCUUUUUUUGAAAUGCCAUUCCCAUGAAUCAUAUAAUUCAACAAAUCCCGGUCUCAGUAUGGAGUGGAGAGCUCAGGAGCCUGUGCAGGCAGGUACUGUUAAUAGAAGAAGCCUAAAUAGGUGUUUCCUUGCUUUGGAAGGAUGCUGUCAACUUUUAGGAAGAGGAGGAGGGAAAAAAGGGUCAGAACUGUGAUGCCACAAGCACUCUCUUAAAUUCUCCAGUAUUCUCAAGUGCGUUUUUCUAUGAUUGAGGAAACAGGACAGUUAAGCAACAAGCAUGGAGUCACACAGCUUGUAUAGGUUGGAGCUAAGUUUUCAAGGCAACACUAACCCCCCCCACCUCCUGCCAAUAUUCCCAGCAGGCACAUCUUCUCUUGACUUAGCUUGUUCAAGUCAAUUUUAAGACAUAUAAAACUCCUAUAAAUGUUAGAAAGUUUAAAUCACACAGCCACCAUUUCUACUCAGUUCUCUUUCUACUCUUAAAUCUUACCAGCCUAUGUCCCAGGCUCCCCUUGGUACAAUGUGAACAUUUCACUGCACUUCUGAAGAAAAUACAAAAUGUAAAGGAACCUACAAUAAGCAUCUUGUGAAUAGAGACCAUACUUUGUCUGUUCUAUGCAUCGCUCUAUUCAAGGCCUGGCCCAGAGUAGGUACUUAAUAGAUAUUGAAGGAGGAGGGUGGGAUGAUGGAAGGAGAGAGGGAGGGAAGAAAGAAGGAAGGGAAUGUUGUAGAAGUUAAAAAAAAAAAGGGUAAAAUUUGGGAGCUGAUUAUAUGGUAAGGUGUUAAGAGAGAAGAGAAAGAAUCCAAGAAGAUGCAAACAUGCGCCAUCAAGAAUCUUACUGUCUAGAAGACAAAAGUUAUGUCUGUGAAUAUUUUUUUUUAUCAUUGGUUUACAGAGUUUUUUUUUCCCUGCACCUAUGGCUCAUGGAAGCUCCCAGGCCAGGGGUUGAAUCUGAGCUACAGUUGCGACCUGCACUACAGCUGCAGCAACGCCAGAUCUUUAACCCAUCAUGCCACAGUGGGAACUCAUAGAAUGUGUUCUCUUUCGUAAGUGAGAAAGUGUUCCAAUUAUUUUUUUUAUUCUGAAGUUUACAUUCAGUUCCACCACUUAAGUUGCAAGCAAGGAAAAGAUUUAGCCACAUAUGUACUUUCUGUAUUCAUAUCUGAAAAAAAAAAUCUGCUGAAAUGCUUUUGAAUAAGACUCAAGAAAAUGGCCUGAGCCAAUCAAUAAGUCAGGGAAAAAAAGCUCCUCUGGUGAGUCAGUGAAUCAUCCAUGUGUUCAUAUUUUGGAGCUGCAUGAGCUUCAUGUUCCUGUGCUGAAACCUGCCCCACAGUAUAUCAUCAGAAAGUAACAUGGAGUUCUCUGCAUGUUAGCUCAUCUGUAAGAAGGUCAAAGAGUGGCACGGGUACUUUGAACCGCAACUCCAACUCUGUAAUCUAAUUUCUUUAAGUCUUCAGACAUGUUCUUACUGAAAACAUAACAACCACAAAAAAGUAGAGCUGUGGAAAUCAAUUUUCUCAUUUAAUCAGCUUCUUUGUGAAUUCAACCAUAAAUUAUGUGCUAGAGGAGUCUAAUCACAUUGUAUAUGAAUCUUGCAUAAUUUGCAUUAAUUACAACCUAAGAUGUAAGUGCGUUAUGUGGCAUUGUAUGUAUUUUUAGUUUACCUCAUUAAAAAAGUUAUAGCCGCUUAUGGGAGACAUGACUUCUUUAUUUUUCCAAACACAUAAAAGAAGAAAAACAAAAUCCUACUGAUUACUUUAGGAAAUGGUAUCUUUUGGAAGAAGAUAAUCUUUUUAACGUUGCUGGUUCUUGAAUUGUUAUUAAAGCAGUGCUUCCCAGAGUUGCAAGAAUCUCCCUCUGUAUUUAAUCUCCUUUGCAGCGCAGAAGAGGGGUGCCUAAGAACCAGUUACCCAGAGUUCCCAUCAUGACUCAGCAGUUAACGAAUUCGACUAGUACCCAUGACAACAUGGGUUUGAUCCCUGGCCUUGCUCUGUGGGUUAAUGAUCCAGCGUUGCGGUGAACUGUGGUGUAGACUGCAGAUGUGGCUCAGAUCUCACGUUGCUGUGGUGUAGGCCAGUGGCUAUAGCUCCAAUUCGACCCCGGCCUGGGACCCUCCAUGAACAGUGGAUGUGGCCCUAAAAAGACAAACAAACAAACAAAUAAACAAACAAACAAAAACCAGUUACCCUAAUGAUUGCAAACCUCUGGUAAGCUGCUUUGAGGUCAGGUUUACUGUGUGGGUCCAGUCUUGAUUACUAUUCUUCAGAUGCUCAGGUGACUGGUAGUGGAUGUGGCUCCUAGUCAUUCGCAUUUUAUACUCAUGGGGCUAAUUCCCAAAGUCUUGGAAGUGCAGUUAUAAAGGGGAUGGUGGUUCCUCUCCAUAAACCAAGAUGAUCAUUUGUUAAGGAUUAUAGGUAGCUGUCGGGAUGGGUGGAAAGUCACUUGUAUGGCUAGAGAUGUCAAAAUAUUCCUGUUCAUUCUUCUGCUCAUUUCAUAAACGCUUUCCUGUGUGUCCAUCAUGCACGAAGAACUAAGCUGAGCACUGGGAAUUCUAAAAUGAACAAAACAAAAAGUUCCAUCUUCAAAGAGAUCAGUCUAAUAGAGAAGGCAGAAUAUAAUCAAAUUAUGUCAAUACUGUGCUAUAAGUAGUUUAAUAAAGAUAGGUGAAAAAACAGUGAUUGAUACGAGAGAGAGAGGACAAUUUCAUCUAGCAGGGAGGGUCCAAUCAGGGAAAGUGGAGGAGGAGAUGCAAAGCUGGGUCUUGAAAGGUGAAAAGGGAUGACAAUCCAGAAGAACAAAAAGAUUUCAGGUAAAGAGAAAAGCAUGUUAGAAGAUAAGGACCACUGUUUGGUACCUACAGGGGAUUGCAAGUGGUUUCUAAAGGGUAGCAAUGAUAAGAUGGGGUAGGAAGAGAUGGGUCAAUUUAUGGAGCAGUCAGGUCUUACUGUGUGUGUAUCAGAUUGAUCUAUCUCUCUACCCAUUCAUCCAUCCAUCCAUCUAUCUUGUGUGUGUAUAAUAAAAUUUAAUUCUGGAGUAUUAUCCCAGAUUUACAGAUAAGAAAGCUGAGACACAUCUGGCUAUCCAAGGCCACGUAGUUGGGAGUUAACGGCAUCAAAGUAUAAACAUAUACAGUUUGGAUCCUAGAACCAUGUUGCCUCAUUAUUACAUGAGAGUUUGGACUUUGCUUUCAGGGAAUGUUGAAGAGUUUCAGAUAGAGGAAUACUAUGAUAAGAGUAGUUUUAUAAAGACAACCCGCCCCCCGCCCCCCCAGCAACUGCAGUGUGGAGAGUGGACUCAAGAAGGGUCCAGGCAGAAAACCACUUGGGAGACCAGUGUUGACGGUCACGGCAGUGUAAUGAAGGCCUACACCACUGCAGAACAGUAAAGUCGUUUACCCGCUACGUGGCCUCACCAGCUAAGCUGGCACCAGACAGCAGGGUCUGGACUGAGCUUCGCCAUCCUGCGCCAUUCACGAUCUUGAUAAAAUUGGUAGUAAGAGAAAAGACCCUCUAUUCCAACCUGCAGAUGGGGCCCUGAGUCGCAGAAUUUAGAGUUGGGAGAAACGUGGGUUGAUUCAGAGCAUUGGUCUUCUCCAGUCAGGAAUUCCUCAUAGAACAUCACUGUCAGAUGAUGAUCCAUCCUUGCCUGAAUUCAUUAUCACAAAACGUCUUUCAAGGGAUCAACAACAUUUACUCAACAAACAUUUUUUGAGCAUCUAUUGUGGUUAAGGCUGUAGAUAAAAUGAACAAAACCCAACAGGAUUCUUCAGGAACUUACAAUCUUAAUAAUAAAUGUUGUUUCCCUCUACUAUCCACUUAUUGUCACUCAUUUUAUUCCCUAGAAUUAUACAAAAAAGCUUCUUCUCUUAGGCAUGGCAGCAUUUCAAAUACUGAAAGCUCUCAAGUAUCUCUUUGUUUUUCUCUUUUCCAAGCUAAACAUUUAGUUUCUCCAACAGUAUUUCACAUAGGACAGUCAAAUCUGCUAAUGACUGCAUGGUUUGUAAUGAGGAAAUUGCCAAACAUUACUGAAAAAAAAAAAAAUACAGCAUCCCUUACUAUUAGCAGAGUCCAAGAUUGACAUAUAAAUAAAAUCGGUUAUAAUUAGAAGAUUGCAGAUGCUGGUGGCUUUGGGGUAUCUGAUCACC
Molecule: long non-coding RNA, 4968 nt
Filed under: Sus scrofa (pig)
Lineage: Eukaryota; Metazoa; Chordata; Mammalia; Artiodactyla; Suidae
Description: lncRNA (ENSSSCG00025003087.1)
Source: RNAcentral